This 238-nucleotide ribosomal RNA is filed under the name uncultured bacterium. Its description in RNAcentral is "partial 16S ribosomal RNA". It matches the Rfam family "Bacterial small subunit ribosomal RNA", at positions 99 to 334 of the family's 1533-position model. The record is from RNAcentral.
CGAACGGUCGCGUAACACGUAAGCAACCUGCCCCAAAGACCGGGACAACGUUCCGAAAGGAGCGCUAAUACCGGAUGUGCCCGCGAGGAGACCUCUCUUUGCGAGUAAAGCGCGCAAUCGGCUUUGGGAGGGGCUUGCGGCCUAUCAGCUAGAUGGUGGGGUAACGGCCUACCAUGGCGACGACGGGUAGCUGGUCUGAGAGGAUGGUCAGCCGGAUUGGGACUGAGAUACGGCCCAG